UUUCCGUAGGUGAACCUGCGGAAGGAUCAUUACAGUAGUCACCCAGGUUGCCGCAGGGCCUCCUGGGUAACCUACCACCCUUUGUUUAUUACACUUUGUCGCUUUGGCAAGCCUGCCCUCGGGCUGCUGGCUCCGGCCGGCGAGCGCUUGCCAGAGGACCUAAACUCUGUUUGUCUAUACUGUCUGAGUACUAUAUAAUAGUUAAAACUUUCAACAACGGAUCUCUUGGUUCUG
RNAcentral lists this unclassified non-coding RNA (234 nucleotides) under plant metagenome. Its description in RNAcentral is "partial contains small subunit ribosomal RNA, internal transcribed spacer 1, and 5.8S ribosomal RNA". The record is from RNAcentral.